RNAcentral lists this ribosomal RNA (501 nucleotides) under uncultured bacterium. Its description in RNAcentral is "partial 16S ribosomal RNA". It matches the Rfam family "Bacterial small subunit ribosomal RNA", at positions 30 to 523 of the family's 1533-position model. The record is from RNAcentral.
AUUGAACGCUGGCGGCAGGCUUAACACAUGCAAGUCGAGCGGGGGAAGGUAGCUUGCUACUGGACCUAGCGGCGGACGGGUGAGUAAUGCUUAGGAAUCUGCCUAUUAGUGGGGGACAACAUCUCCAAAGGGAUGCUAAUACCGCAUCCGUCAUACGGGAGAAAGCAGGGGAUCUUCGGACCUUGCGCUAAUAGAUGAGCCUAAGUCGGAUUAGCUAGUUGGUGGGGUAAAGGCCUACCAAGGCGACGAUCUGUAGCGGGUCUGAGAGGAUGAUCCGCCACACUGGGACUGAGACACGGCCCAGACUCCUACGGGAGGCAGCAGUGGGGAAUAUUGGACAAUGGGGGGAACCCUGAUCCAGCCAUGCCGCGUGUGUGAAGAAGGCCUUAUGGUUGUAAAGCACUUUAAGCGAGGAGGAGGCUACUUUAGUUAAUACCUAGAGAUAGUGGACGUUACUCGCAGAAUAAGCACCGGCUAACUCUGUGCCAGCCGCCGCAGUAA